This 253-nucleotide ribosomal RNA is filed under the name uncultured bacterium. Its description in RNAcentral is "partial 16S ribosomal RNA". It matches the Rfam family "Bacterial small subunit ribosomal RNA", at positions 524 to 776 of the family's 1533-position model. The record is from RNAcentral.
UACGGAGGGUGCGAGCGUUGUCCGGAAUCACUGGGCGUAAAGGGUGCGUAGGCGGGUCUUUAAGUCAGGGGUGAAAGCCCCGGGCUUAACCUGGGAACUGCGUUUGAUACGGAUGGGCUAGAGUUCGGGAGAGGAGAGUGGAAUUCCCAGUGUAGAGGUGAAAUUCGUAGAUAUUGGGAAGAACACCGGUGGCGAAGGCGGCUCUCUGGACCGAGACUGACGCUGAGGCGCGAAAGCGUGGGGAGCAAACAGG